Long non-coding RNA from Mirounga angustirostris (Northern elephant seal), 1546 nucleotides. RefSeq lists it as uncharacterized. The transcript is spliced from 5 exons. The record is from RefSeq and is a predicted model, not a curated record. NCBI's taxonomy places the organism in Eukaryota, Metazoa, Chordata, Mammalia, Carnivora, Phocidae.
GGGUGCCGGCCCAGAGGCCGUGGGCGCGGCUGCGCGUGCGCGUGGACCGCGCAGAGGGGCUGCGGGCGCUGCGCCCGGGGCUGCUGCGGAGUCCGGCCCGCGCCCUGCAGGCCCAGCGCGUCCUCCUGGACCCCUACGUGCGCGUGUCUUUCCUGGGGCAGCAGGACCAGGGGCUGCAGGAAGUUGAGAUUCUGCAGCGCAGGCCGGGGCCUGGCGCCUACGCACGGCUGAAACAGGCGCUGGAAGAGCUGGUAGCGGGGAGCAGGCACCUGGGGCAGCUCCUGGUGAGGUCUGUGCCAAGCUGGAGCUCUUUCUGUGGCUGGGGCCGGGUAAGCAAGCCAAGGCUGCACCUCAGAGCUCCCCUGGGGACCUGCUGCCCGAGCCCCCCGAGGGGCUGCCACACCACCUGUACCAGGAUGCUACUUCCAGCUCCGAGCUCACUUGUACCAGGCCCGAGGGGUGUUGGCAGCAGAUGACAGUCGGCUUUCAGACCCCUUUGCUCGAGUCCUCAUCUCUACCCAGUGCCAGACCACACGGGGCCCCGCUGUGUUCCUGGGCAGGUCACUGGCUGCCCCAAGGGUAAAGUUGAUGGAAGACCCUUACCAACGCCCUGAGCUGCAGUUCUUCCCCCUAAGGAAGGGGCCCAGGGCAGCCGGAGAGCUCAUCGCCACCUUUGAACUCAUUGAACUGGACUUCAGCGGCCGGCUCGAGGUCAGAGUACCCUGGCUUAGCCGGCACAGGCUGGGGACUCCUCUUGUUAUUCUUUCAGGUGGUCCAGCUCCAGAGAUUAUGGAACAUAUCCUGGGGUUACCCCUCCAAGUAUUUGCCCCCAGAGAAUGCAGGCUGCAAAUCUGUCCUGGGGUCACCUCACUGGACCUCCUGACUUCAGGGAACAUUAGAAGCAGGCACACUGUAGGUUCACCUUGCCAGGUUUCCAGUCCUAGAGACCCGAGACUGCAGGUGGAUCCUCGUGCCUCAGAUGCCCACCCUCCCUUCCUGUACCUGGCUGUUUCCUGGGAUGCGCCCUUCCUGCCCAUCCAGCCUUGCCCAGUUCCUCUGGAUUGAGAUUUCACUGGCAGCUCUCAAUGUCCCCUCCCUGAGCCCAGAUCUCCCUCCUUUGGCCUGCUUCCUCCUUGAUCUCUGAUCUCUUGCCCCCUGCAGCCCUCAGUGCUAAGUGAUGUAGAGCCCCAGGACCUGACACCACUGGUUGAGCACCUGUCUGGACACCUGUCCCUGCCACCUGAUGUGCGUCCAGUGCUCAGGGAGUUCUGUGUUGAGGUAUUGCUGGGCACACUCACAUUCCCCCCCCCCCGCCUGCCACACGCACAUCUGGGUGCCCUCUGUCAGAUGCAGGCUGCUGAAUUUCUCACUUCCUGACCCCAGGUGCUGUUCUGGGGUCUGAGAGGCCUUGGCUGUGUGCAUCUCUUUGAGGUGGAGCAGCCCCAGGUUGUGCUGGAGGUGGCUGGGUGACGUGUGGAGUCAGAGGUCCUGGCCAGUUACCAUGAGAACCCCAAUUUCACUGAACUCGUCAGGCAUCUGACCGUGG